This is a long non-coding RNA of Heterocephalus glaber (naked mole-rat), 1079 nucleotides long. The record is from Ensembl. NCBI's taxonomy places the organism in Eukaryota, Metazoa, Chordata, Mammalia, Rodentia, Bathyergidae.
UAACAAUUAAAAUUAUGCUGCAUGGAUAACUAGAUAUCUCUUUGCCAUUUGUUAUAUUUAUUUCAAAUGGAAUUAUAAUCAAUCACAUUAUUUUAAGCAGGUUUAUUGCUUGUUGCUCACAUUCCUUAGGCCCUAGAUCAGUGAGUAUUAGUCAUUGGACUAAUUAUCCAAGGGUUAAAAUGGUUUUAGUAGAGAUGGCAUAUGCAGAGCAAUGAUGACUAAUGUUGUCUCCUAUGUAUUAUUUUUUAUUUCAUCCUUCGGUGUACCAGGAUGUUUUUACUUGACCUCACAUAUUUCCCCUAGUGACUCUUGUUUCUUGAAAAGGUGCUGUUAUCCAGGGCACAGGAGAACAUUGGCAAAGAGAAGAAGGGAGGAAAGAAGAGAAGUAGAAGCAGAUGAAGAGGAAGAAAUCAAACAAGAAAUUAACAUGUUGAAGAAAUAAUCUCAUCACCAAAAUAUAGCUACAUACUAUGGUGCUUUUAUCAAAAAGAACCCUCCAGGCAUGGAUGACCAACUUUCAGGAAUAAAAUCAAAGGAACACAGAGAUGGCUGGUGAGCAUGUUACAAGAUGAAAACAUAAAUGUAAAGCCUACAAAAUAAGCAUUGAAAGAAAAAAGGCACUUCUUAGGGGGACAAGAAGAGCUGGGAAGAUGGGUCUGAUGUUCUGGUCACCCACCUUGUCACCUGAUGCCUAUCUAGACUUACUCAACCAGGUAUUGCUAAUUACAGUAUAAUCUCAAGUUGUUGUUUAUCUCUUAGAGAGUCGUGAAAGCCUGGCCAUUACUUUUCUAUCUUGAGGCCUGACCUUCUUCAGAUGUGUCUCUUGGCAAACUUUUGAUGUGUUUUCAUCUUUCGCACUAACUCUCUUGAAGGUCCAUCCCUGUCUGCCUGCCUAUUAGUUUCUAUCUGUCUUGGCUCUCUGUAAUGCUGUCAAUGUGUAUUAUGCAGUAUUGUUAUGGAAAAUGACAGUUGUGACCUCUGUCCUGGACAGAUUGACCUUGUGGUUAUAUGUACAAUCAUAGUUGGGGAACAGAAACAGGAACUCAAAGGUCAGUGGUAAGCAUCUGUAAAAGUUCCAG